UACGUAGGGUGCGAGCGUUAAUCGGCAUUACUGGGCGUAAAGCGUGCGCAGGCGGUUCUAUAAGACAGUCGUGAAAUCCCCGGGCUCAACCUGGGAAUUGCGAUUAUGACUGUAGAGCUGGAGUGCGGCAGAGGGGGAUGGAAUUCCGCGUGUAGCAGUGAAAUGCGUAGAUAUGCGGAGGAACACCGAUGGCGAAGGCAGUCCCCUGGGCCUGCACUGACGCUCAUGCACGAAAGCGUGGGGAGCAAACAGG
RNAcentral lists this ribosomal RNA (253 nucleotides) under uncultured bacterium. RNAcentral's name for it is "partial 16S ribosomal RNA". It matches the Rfam family "Bacterial small subunit ribosomal RNA", at positions 524 to 776 of the family's 1533-position model. The record is from RNAcentral.